Molecule: ribosomal RNA, 2302 nt
Filed under: Klebsiella pneumoniae BWH 47
Lineage: Bacteria; Pseudomonadati; Pseudomonadota; Gammaproteobacteria; Enterobacterales; Enterobacteriaceae
Also listed under: 4 other names
Description: bacterial LSU rRNA
Rfam family: Bacterial large subunit ribosomal RNA
Source: RNAcentral
UUAAGCGACUAAGCGUACACGGUGGAUGCCCUGGCAGUCAGAGGCGAUGAAGGACGUGCUAAUCUGCGAAAAGCGUCGGUAAGGUGAUAUGAACCGUUAUAACCGGCGAUGUCCGAAUGGGGAAACCCAGUGCAAUUCGUUGCACUAUCGUUAACUGAAUACAUAGGUUAACGAGGCGAACCGGGGGAACUGAAACAUCUAAGUACCCCGAGGAAAAGAAAUCAACCGAGAUUCCCCCAGUAGCGGCGAGCGAACGGGGAGCAGCCCAGAGUCUGAAUCAGCUUGUGUGUUAGUGGAACGGUCUGGAAAGUCCGACGGUACAGGGUGAUAGUCCCGUACACCAAAAUGCACAGGCUGUGAACUCGAAGAGUAGGGCGGGACACGUGGUAUCCUGUCUGAAUAUGGGGGGACCAUCCUCCAAGGCUAAAUACUCCUGACUGACCGAUAGUGAACCAGUACCGUGAGGGAAAGGCGAAAAGAACCCCGGCGAGGGGAGUGAAAAAGAACCUGAAACCGUGUACGUACAAGCAGUGGGAGCACCUUCGGGUGUGACUGCGUACCUUUUGUAUAAUGGGUCAGCGACUUAUAUUCUGUAGCAAGGUUAACCGUAUAGGGGAGCCGCAGGGAAACCGAGUCUUAACUGGGCGUUAAGUUGCAGGGUAUAGACCCGAAACCCGGUGAUCUAGCCAUGGGCAGGUUGAAGGUUGGGUAACACUAACUGGAGGACCGAACCGACUAAUGUUGAAAAAUUAGCGGAUGACUUGUGGCUGGGGGUGAAAGGCCAAUCAAACCGGGAGAUAGCUGGUUCUCCCCGAAAGCUAUUUAGGUAGCGCCUCGUGAACUCAUCUUCGGGGGUAGAGCACUGUUUCGGCUAGGGGGUCAUCCCGACUUACCAACCCGAUGCAAACUACGAAUACCGAAGAAUGUUAUCACGGGAGACACACGGCGGGUGCUAACGUCCGUCGUGAAGAGGGAAACAACCCAGACCGCCAGCUAAGGUCCCAAAGUCAUGGUUAAGUGGGAAACGAUGUGGGAAGGCACAGACAGCCAGGAUGUUGGCUUAGAAGCAGCCAUCAUUUAAAGAAAGCGUAAUAGCUCACUGGUCGAGUCGGCCUGCGCGGAAGAUGUAACGGGGCUAAACCAUGCACCGAAGCUGCGGCAGCGACACUAUGUGUUGUUGGGUAGGGGAGCGUUCUGUAAGCCUGCGAAGGUGUGCUGUGAGGCAUGCUGGAGGUAUCAGAAGUGCGAAUGCUGACAUAAGUAACGAUAAAGCGGGUGAAAAGCCCGCUCGCCGGAAGACCAAGGGUUCCUGUCCAACGUUAAUCGGGGCAGGGUGAGUCGACCCCUAAGGCGAGGCCGAAAGGCGUAGUCGAUGGGAAACAGGUUAAUAUUCCUGUACUUGGUGUUACUGCGAAGGGGGGACGGAGAAGGCUAUGUUAGCCGGGCGACGGUUGUCCCGGUUUAAGCAUGUAGGCUGAUUGUCCAGGCAAAUCCGGAUAAUCAAGGCUGAGGUGUGAUGACGAGGCACUACGGUGCUGAAGUAACAAAUGCCCUGCUUCCAGGAAAAGCCUCUAAGCAUCAGGUAACAUUAAAUCGUACCCCAAACCGACACAGGUGGUCAGGUAGAGAAUACCAAGGCGCUUGAGAGAACUCGGGUGAAGGAACUAGGCAAAAUGGUGCCGUAACUUCGGGAGAAGGCACGCUGGUGUGUAGGUGAAGUCCCUGCGGAUGGAGCUGAGACCAGUCGAAGAUACCAGCUGGCUGCAACUGUUUAUUAAAAACACAGCACUGUGCAAACACGAAAGUGGACGUAUACGGUGUGACGCCUGCCCGGUGCCGGAAGGUUAAUUGAUGGGGUUAUCCGUAAGGAGAAGCUCUUGAUCGAAGCCCCGGUAAACGGCGGCCGUAACUAUAACGGUCCUAAGGUAGCGAAAUUCCUUGUCGGGUAAGUUCCGACCUGCACGAAUGGCGUAAUGAUGGCCAGGCUGUCUCCACCCGAGACUCAGUGAAAUUGAACUCGCUGUGAAGAUGCAGUGUACCCGCGGCAAGACGGAAAGACCCCGUGAACCUUUACUAUAGCUUGACACUGAACAUUGAGCCUUGAUGUGUAGGAUAGGUGGGAGGCUUUGAAGCGUGGACGCCAGUCUGCGUGGAGCCAACCUUGAAAUACCACCCUUUAAUGUUUGAUGUUCUAACGUUGGCCCCUGACCGGGGUUGCGGACAGUGUCUGGUGGGUAGUUUGACUGGGGCGGUCUCCUCCCAAAGCGUAACGGAGGAGCACGAAGGUUAGCUAAUCCUGGUC